CGUUCGCCUUCGGGCGAGCUACCGAAAGGGGCGGUAAUACCGGAUGAUGUCAUUCGUCGAUAGGUGAAUGACCAAAGAUUUAUCGGCAUAGGAGCGGCCUACCUCCUAUCAGCUGGUUGGUGAGGUAAUGGCUCACCAAGGCUAUGACGGGUAGCGGGACUGAGAGGUUGGCCCGCCACAUCGGGACUGAGACACUGCCCGGACCCCCACGGGGGGCUGCAGUAACGAAUCUUGGGCAAUGGGCGAAAGCCUGACCCAGCGACGCCGCGUGUAUGAGGAAGUCCUUCGGGAUGUAAAGUACUGUCAGGGCUAAGAAAGUUCGCUUCGGCGGAUUGAUCUAACCCAAAGGAAGUCACGGCUAACUUCGUGCCAGCAGCCGCGGUAAGACGAAGGUGGCAAGCGUUGUUCGGUAUCACUGGGCUUAAAGAGUGUGUAGGCGGAAAAGUAAGCGUCGUGUGAAAUCCCCCGGCUUAACCGGGGAAUUGCUCGAUGAACUGCUUUUCUUGAGGCAAGUAGGGGUGCACGGAACUCUUGGUGGAGCGGUGGAAUGCGUAGAUAUCAAGAGGAACGCCGGCGGUGAAGACGGUGCACUGGGCUUGUCCUGACGCUGAGACACGAAAGCGUGGGUAGCGAACGGGAUUAGAUACCCCGGUAGUCCACGCCGUAAACGAUGCCUACUAGGUUGUGGUGGUUCUGACGCCGGCACAGCCGAAGCAAAAGUGUUAAGU
RNAcentral lists this ribosomal RNA (728 nucleotides) under uncultured bacterium. RNAcentral describes it as "bacterial SSU rRNA". It matches the Rfam family "Bacterial small subunit ribosomal RNA", at positions 125 to 865 of the family's 1533-position model. The record is from RNAcentral.